This 500-nucleotide ribosomal RNA is filed under the name uncultured bacterium. RNAcentral's name for it is "partial 16S ribosomal RNA". It matches the Rfam family "Bacterial small subunit ribosomal RNA", at positions 30 to 523 of the family's 1533-position model. The record is from RNAcentral.
AUUGAACGCUGGCGGCAGGCCUAACACAUGCAAGUCGAGCGGUAGAGAGAAGCUUGCUUCUCUUGAGAGCGGCGGACGGGUGAGUAAUGCCUAGGAAUCUGCCUGGUAGUGGGGGAUAACGUUCGGAAACGGACGCUAAUACCGCAUACGUCCUACGGGAGAAAGCAGGGGACCUUCGGGCCUUGCGCUAUCAGAUGAGCCUAGGUCGGAUUAGCUAGUUGGUGGGGUAAUGGCUCACCAAGGCGACGAUCCGUAACUGGUCUGAGAGGAUGAGCAGUCACACUGGAACUGAGACACGGUCCAGACGCCUACGGGAGGCAGCAGUGGGGAAUAUUGGACAAUGGGCGAAAGCCUGAUCCAGCCAUGCCGCGUGUGUGAAGAAGGUCUUCGGAUUGUAAAGCACUUUAGGUUGGGAGGAAGGGCAGUAAAUUAAUACUUUGCUGUUUUGACGUUACCGACAGAAUAAGCACCGGCUAACUCUGUGCCAGCCGCCGCCGUAA